AGGAGCAAUGGCAGGAGGUAUUUUCAGUUUUAAUGUUUUGCUUGCAAAUGGUUUAAUCAAAGACAAGUCUGAAGAGGCAGAAUGAGCAACAGAUAAGAUUUGACCUUUACAACUACAUUUGAAUUUUUGCCAGAACAUCAAGUAAUUAUUUUUUUUUUCUCCAACAAACCUAAGGUUGGCUAAGCAGCAAUUUACAAAGCUUUUCUAUCACUAAAUAAAUAGAAAGUGACUGGACUGCAUUGUUCAUUGGAAAUUUAAGCAAGAAACAAGCAAACUUGGCACGGGCCCAGCACAGAUUACUGCAGACACUCAGUUUUGGAGCAGAGACCAUCCCUAAAGAGAUUUGCUUAUUGCA
RNAcentral lists this long non-coding RNA (355 nucleotides) under Gallus gallus (chicken). The record is from RNAcentral. Lineage: Eukaryota; Metazoa; Chordata; Aves; Galliformes; Phasianidae.